Molecule: long non-coding RNA, 1323 nt
Filed under: Canis lupus familiaris (dog)
Lineage: Eukaryota; Metazoa; Chordata; Mammalia; Carnivora; Canidae
Description: lncRNA (ENSCAFG00000051448.1, ENSCAFG00805025583.1)
Source: RNAcentral
GUCAAAUUGACUUAAGAAAAAAAGCAAAUGACAGGAUUUGCUGACUCACAAGGUGGGGCUCAUGGGCAGUUGAAUCUGAGGAUGUGAGGGAUGCUGACAAAAUCUGAUCUUUCUCUCUGCCCAUAGGUCACUCUCCCAGUGACCCUUCAUCUUGUGGCUCUGAAUUUCUUUGUUGGCUUCAAUGGCAGGUAAGUAUUCUCCACUUCUUGGCCUCCAGAAACAUCAAGAUUUUGACCAUUUUAGAAGCCCCAAAAGAAAGAGAGCUCCCCAUUCUCCAAAUUCCUGGCACAAGUCCCUAUGGCUUAUUGGACCAACUUAAGUGGUCUCAUUGGGCCAACUUAAGUCACAUGUCCAUUCCUGAGCCACUCAUGGUGGCCAAAGUGAUGGGCUAUAUGAAUUGGCCAGGUCAAGCACCAUUUUUGUAGCUGAGUGCUGUUCCCCAAAGGAAAACCAAGGUGCUGGUAUCAGGAGAUGAGGACAUGGAUGCUGGGCCGAAUAAAAUAACAGGUAACCACUGCCAGAACAAACCUUACUGGCGUCAUUUAUGGAGAUUCUUGGAAGGAGGUGACUGGGAAAACACUGUGUGUUGGAGGCAAAAGGGUGGAGAUAAACCAGGACAAGAAACAAGACCUCAUCAGAUGUACAAAGGUGGGAGGCAGGACCAAUGGAACCAGAGGAGCUGCAGAGAAAUCAAGCUGCUGUGAUCAAGGAGCAGGACCUCCCAUCAGCACGGUUACGAUCCUAACAUAUUUUGGGGUAGGAGGAAGAGUAGAACAGGAUCCUGUUUCCAAAACCCCACAUUUCAAGUUCCUCUACGUGAACUGUCAACCCCAGCCCCACAGGUUCCAACAGCGACAGAAAGCCAACCAGAUUUGCCGCAGACCCAACCCCAGGAAAACUGCACGCGUGAGAAGCCAAGUCCAACGGACCCUUUGUUUCUAAAAUGGGCUCACGAUAGGACCCCACUAGAUGGACAGACCUGCUCUCCCAGAUGGGAAACACAGCCCGGCCUCCCGGGGCUCAGCGCACUGGGAGGUGACCCGAGUUUGUUGAGCCAACGACCGCCAGCCGACUUCCGUGGCCACACCAGGUCAACGGUCCAGCAAACCAUGCAGUUUUCUUGCUCAACCACCUGUUUUUUUCCUUAUCACCUUUCUGGCCCAGACCCUCGCCGAAGGCAUCAGCAGAGAUCACAUAGCCACAGAGACAGUGGCUGCUUAUCACCAAGCUCAAGGCUCCUCAGCUCCACUGGACACUCCCGAUCUACCCACUGUUUUCUGGAAAUUUUCUCCCGGUGCUCCUAGGAGUAACGCGCAUCUCCAC